RNAcentral lists this long non-coding RNA (278 nucleotides) under Daucus carota (carrot). Its description in RNAcentral is "long non-coding RNA (DCAR_LNC000972)". Lineage: Eukaryota; Viridiplantae; Streptophyta; Magnoliopsida; Apiales; Apiaceae. The record is from RNAcentral.
UGGCCAUAUUCUGGAGCAGCUCGAUUGACUUGAUCAAUUAAUUCGUUGAUCGAAUCCACUGAAUACUUUCGUACGUCCUGACGUCCUGUGCACUGGUCUGGUUCACGAACGACUCGAACUGAAAUGAUUCUUUGAAUCCUUUGCUUGAUAAUAUACUUGAUCAGUCAUUCCGGGUUAGGUGUUGCUUCGAUAAAUUUGAUUAUAAAUAAUCAAAUUAAAUAUACUGGAAUCUUCUGGUCUUUGAUACUUGAUCUUCAGGCAAUCUUGAUAGCAGAAAC